GGUUGCCAACCCGCGAGGGGGAGCCAAUCCCAUAAAGCCAGUCGUAGUCCGGAUCGUAGUCUGCAACUCGACUACGUGAAGUCGGAAUCGCUAGUAAUCGUGGAUCAGAAUGUCACGGUGAAUACGUUCCCGGGUCUU
RNAcentral lists this ribosomal RNA (138 nucleotides) under uncultured Rhodoferax sp. Its description in RNAcentral is "partial 16S ribosomal RNA". It matches the Rfam family "Bacterial small subunit ribosomal RNA", at positions 1245 to 1382 of the family's 1533-position model. The record is from RNAcentral. Lineage: Bacteria; Pseudomonadati; Pseudomonadota; Betaproteobacteria; Burkholderiales; Comamonadaceae.